GAUAAACGCUGGCGGCGUGCUUAACACAUGCAAGUCGAACGGAGUAUUCCUUCGGAAGAUCGAAGAGCUUGCUCGGAGAGAUUCUUUGGAAUACUUAGUGGCGGACGGGUGAGUAACGCGUGGGUAACCUGCCUCACACAGGGGGAUAACAGUUGGAAACGACUGUUAAUACCGCAUAAGCGCACAGUACCGCAUGGUACAGUGUGAAAAACUCCGGUGGUGUGAGAUGGACCCGCGUCUGAUUAGCUAGUUGGUGAGGUAACGGCCCACCAAGGCGACGAUCAGUAGCCGGCCUGAGAGGGUGUACGGCCACAUUGGGACUGAGACACGGCCCAAACUCC
Molecule: ribosomal RNA, 341 nt
Filed under: uncultured Coprococcus sp.
Lineage: Bacteria; Bacillati; Bacillota; Clostridia; Lachnospirales; Lachnospiraceae
Description: bacterial SSU rRNA
Rfam family: Bacterial small subunit ribosomal RNA
Source: RNAcentral